This 1155-nucleotide long non-coding RNA is filed under the name Equus caballus (horse). RNAcentral describes it as "lncRNA (ENSECAG00000059634.1)". The record is from RNAcentral. Lineage: Eukaryota; Metazoa; Chordata; Mammalia; Perissodactyla; Equidae.
CCCCAUUCCCCAUACUUUGCUUGACUUUUUUCUUUAUAGCCCUUAUUCCUACCUGACUUGAUAUAUUUACAACUGUGUUAUCAUAUCUCUCCAACGAAAUGUAAGGUUUGUGUAAAACCAUGUUCAGUCUGUACCAUACUCACACUUCCAUUUGUGAAGGCCAUGGCCUUUUAGCACUUACAGAGAAUGUGGGCACACAUAGAAGAAGGGGCUGAUCUCAGAGUGAUCUUCACUAAGCAAAGGAGAUGGACUAGACACUCAGGUCUCUCCUGGGUCUAUACAAGACCUUUCAUGUGACAUCAGAAUCUAGAGCAGCUGAGCUUGAAGGAGGUCUAAGGAAAAAGCAAGAUAGACACUGAGAAUCUUCCUGAUGCAAUGCAAGGGAAUGCAAAGUGAGGCUCAGAGCAGAACGGAGGGAAGCUGAAGAGAGGAGUUGGGGGAUGGACUGAUGACCCUUCAACCCUUGUGGCCAGCCCUCCAGGCAGCUGUUUGAGGAGGAGAACAGGAAGGCAAAGGAGUUCCUGGAGGCAGAUUCCAAGCAACAUCAGCAAUCACAGCAUAAGCACCAGAGGGCGUUUUGGUUCCAGACCAGUGACUGUCUCAGCCAUCAGCACUCAGGCCUCAACGGAGGGGAUCCUGCUCUUUCACCUCUGCCUCUUAACUCCAGGCAUGGACUUAGGACGUUCCCAGAUUUCUCACCGCACAGCAGAAACCAGGCUGUAAUGUUUAAUAAGAUUUUAUUGACACUUCUUGGACUGUGGGAGAGAAGUGUAACACAAAUACUAGGACUUAUAACUAUUCAUAGACCUCAGAUCCAUUCUGAGAUUUCUCACUAUGCCAGUUUUCUGCCUGACCCCCAGCCUGCCUCCAAAUGGCCAGGGGCAGUUCAUCACCUCCACCACCAGGAUUUUCUAUGAGCCUUUCCACCUCAGAAUCAUGGCCAAACUUACUACUAGCACAGAACAGAGUGUUGGAAAAUUCUUCCCUUAUCUCAGUCUAAGAAGGGGGAAUUCUAUAGUACCCUCAUUUUAGGCCCCAAGACCCACCUUCAUCUAGAAUGUGUAACAGCAGACCAUUCUUAUUUUUCAGAGGAAACCCCAUUCAGACCCCGUGGGUGGUCUGAGAAGACAUUUAUAAAAUAAUUGAUAGUCUUUU